RNAcentral lists this transfer RNA (73 nucleotides) under Candidatus Woesearchaeota archaeon. Its description in RNAcentral is "tRNA-Asp". It matches the Rfam family "tRNA". Rfam says of the family: Transfer RNA (tRNA) molecules are approximately 80 nucleotides in length. Lineage: Archaea; Nanobdellati; Candidatus Woesearchaeota. The record is from RNAcentral.
GCCCACGUGGUCUAACGGCUUAUGACAUGUCCCUGUCACGGACAUAACCCGAGUUCGACUCUCGGCGUGGGCG